RNAcentral lists this ribosomal RNA (253 nucleotides) under uncultured bacterium. RNAcentral's name for it is "partial 16S ribosomal RNA". It matches the Rfam family "Bacterial small subunit ribosomal RNA", at positions 524 to 776 of the family's 1533-position model. The record is from RNAcentral.
UACGUAGGGGGCAAGCGUUGUCCGGAUUUAUUGGGCGUAAAGAGCGUGUAGGCGGCCUGACAGGUCUGUGUGAAAACUCGAGGCUCAAACCUCGAGAUGUCGGCGGAAACCGUCUGGCUAGAGUCCGGAAGAGGAGAGUGGAAUCCUGGUGUAGCGGUGAAAUGCGCAGAUAUCAGGAAGAACACCUAUGGGCGAAGGCAGCUCUCUGGGACGGUACUGACGCUGAGACGCGAAAGCGUGGGGAGCGAACAGG